Molecule: ribosomal RNA, 346 nt
Filed under: uncultured Caldisericales bacterium
Lineage: Bacteria; Pseudomonadati; Caldisericota; Caldisericia; Caldisericales
Description: bacterial SSU rRNA
Rfam family: Bacterial small subunit ribosomal RNA
Source: RNAcentral
CAGGUGGUGCAUGGUUGUCGUCAGCUCGUGCCGUGAGGUGUAAGGUUAAGUCCUUGAACGAGCGCAACCCACGUCGUAUUUGCCACGGAGCAAUCCAGCUACUAUAACGAUACCGCCGGCGACGAGCCGGAGGAAGGCGUGGACGACGUCAAAUCAUCACGCCCCUUAUGUCCAGGGCUACACACAUGCGACAAUGGUCGGAACAAUGAGUUGCCAAGCAGUAAUGCGGAGCUAAUCUCCAAAGCCGGCCUCAGUACAGAUCGAGGGUUGCAACCCACCCUCGUGAAGAUGGAGUUGCUAGUAAACGCAAGUCAGCUAUAUUGCGUUGAAUACGUUCCCGGGUAUU